Molecule: long non-coding RNA, 577 nt
Organism: Rattus norvegicus (Norway rat)
Lineage: Eukaryota; Metazoa; Chordata; Mammalia; Rodentia; Muridae
Source: RefSeq, a predicted model, not a curated record
AAGGCCAGCCACUUCCUUUCAAUCCCGGGUGUGCCUUCUCUGGUUUUCUCCGUUGGAGGGCUUUUCUCUCUGGCCUAACUUCUAGUGACUACAGAAACCUGUAAAAUUCCAGUGCAGCCAACGCUUCUCUCUCUCCUUCCCUCGGAGCUGUCACAGAGGAUAAUCAGGACAGCAAAGUGUUCUGGCAGCCAAGCAAAGACUGUUUUUAAGGAUAGAGAGAACAACUCUGGAAAAGGCUGCCAACAUCUGAAGGAAGGAUGACGUUUGCUGCUGUUUACUCUUUUUAUCCUGUGGGUGUAGCGGAGAGUUCUAGAAGCUGCAUAGAAGAGAGCACGAUGAUUGGUGCAGAAGCAAAUGCAGAAAUCCAUCUACUUCCCAGGCAGGAAGAAAUCAGAGAUGCCAGGGGCUGUAAAACAGGCCAUUGUCUUUCUGUAUUUUCUCUGUUUUUGUGAAAGGUCAGGAAGAUUAUGGAAAUGAAGACAUCAUUGAAGGGAAAUAAUGAUUACAACAAUAUCAAAAUGUACUGGAAAACAAGAAAAAAUAGUAUGGUUUGAUAAUAAAGAUCGAGAAAUAAAAA